This 497-nucleotide ribosomal RNA is filed under the name uncultured bacterium. RNAcentral describes it as "partial 16S ribosomal RNA". It matches the Rfam family "Bacterial small subunit ribosomal RNA", at positions 28 to 507 of the family's 1533-position model. The record is from RNAcentral.
GAUGAACGCUGGCGGCGUGCCUAAUACAUGCAAGUCGAGCGAACAGACGAGGAGCUUGCUCCUUUGACGUUAGCGGCGGACGGGUGAGUAACACGUGGAUAACCUACCUAUAAGACUGGGAUAACUUCGGGAAACCGGAGCUAAUACCGGAUAAUAUGUUGAACCGCAUGGUUCAAUAGUGAAUGACGGUUUUGCUGUCACUUAUAGAUGGAUCCGCGCCGCAUUAGCUAGUUGGUAAGGUAACGGCUUACCAAGGCAACGAUGCGUAGCCGACCUGAGAGGGUGAUCGGCCACACUGGAACUGAGACACGGUCCAGACUCCUACGGGAGGCAGCAGUAGGGAAUAUUCCGCAAUGGGCGAAAGCCUGACGGAGCAACGCCGCGUGAGUGAAGAAGGUCUUCGGAUCGUAAAACUCUGUUAUUAGGGAAGAACAAAUGUGUAAGUAACUAUGCACGUCUUGACGGUACCUAAUCAGAAAGCCACGGCUAACUACGUG